RNAcentral lists this long non-coding RNA (601 nucleotides) under Homo sapiens (human). RNAcentral's name for it is "HSALNT0398795". The record is from RNAcentral. Lineage: Eukaryota; Metazoa; Chordata; Mammalia; Primates; Hominidae.
UUCAAUUUCAAAACCCAGGCUGGUGUACUGACAAGGGCCUUCAUUUUCUUUAAUCAAAUCAUAGCUUCAAAGACUCUGCAGGACGCUGCUAGCAUGUGAAAUUCAGAAGUCAGCAGCCAUGACUCUUCACGUCUGUACCCGUAUUGCCUGGUACAAGGGAUAUCACAUAGUAGGUACACAAUCCCUAAAGUGAAAGAACCCCAGUUCAUUCGUCUCGUGGAAUCUCCACGAAGAGGCACAUUUUCCCCCCAGGCAGCAGCCACGGCUGAACAUUCGUGAGAAGCAAGAUGUCUUAACUGUCUGGCCUGUCUCGAGAAACUUGUAUUCUUGAGAUGUAGAUCCAUCAGCUGCAUCAAUUCACUGAAGAGGAAGCCCCAAAGUGGAGGGUGUAUGGUGCCCUUUCUGUACCGUGGUCACUCAGAAGAAUGAGAUCAAGAUCAACUGUCAACCGGGGAAGCCAGCUUCCGAGAUCAAAGAACUAGAGCCACACCUGAGAUCUGUUCUACAGCUGAACCAAGGAUGCUGAAGUUCCAAGGUUCAUGGGGGUACAUGUGCAGCUUUGUGACAUGAUAAACUGCAUGCCUCAGGGGUUUGGUGUACA